AGAGUUUGAUCAUGGCUCAGGAUGAACGCUAGCUACAGGCUUAACACAUGCAAGUCGAGGGGCAGCAUGUUGGUUGCUUGCAACCAAUGAUGGCGACCGGCGCACGGGUGAGUAACGCGUAUCCAACCUACCCUUGUCCAUCGGAUAACCCGUCGAAAGGCGGCCUAACACGAUAUGCGGUUCACAGCAGGCAUCUAAGGUGAACGAAAUGUGAAGGAGAAGGAUGGGGAUGCGUCUGAUUAGCUUGUUGGCGGGGUAACGGCCACCAAGGCGACGAUCGAGGUAGGGGUUCUGAGAGGAAGGUCCCCCANAUUGGAACUGAGACACGGUCCAAACUCCUACGGGAGCA
This 349-nucleotide ribosomal RNA is filed under the name uncultured bacterium. RNAcentral's name for it is "bacterial SSU rRNA". It matches the Rfam family "Bacterial small subunit ribosomal RNA", at positions 8 to 349 of the family's 1533-position model. The record is from RNAcentral.